This 301-nucleotide ribosomal RNA is filed under the name uncultured bacterium. RNAcentral describes it as "partial 16S ribosomal RNA". It matches the Rfam family "Bacterial small subunit ribosomal RNA", at positions 509 to 807 of the family's 1533-position model. The record is from RNAcentral.
CAAUAGCCGCGGUAAUACGUAGGUGGCAAGCGUUGUCCGGAAUUAUUGGGCGUAAAGGGCUCGCAGGCGGUUUCUUAAGUCUGAUGUGAAAGCCCCCGGCUCAACCGGGGAGGGUCAUUGGAAACUGGGAAACUUGAGUGCAGAAGAGGAGAGUGGAAUUCCACGUGUAGCGGUGAAAUGCGUAGAGAUGUGGAGGAACACCAGUGGCGAAGGCGACUCUCUGGUCUGUAACUGACGCUGAGGAGCGAAAGCGUGGGGAGCGAACAGGAUUAGAUACCCCAGUAGUCCCUGUCUCUUAUAC